Molecule: ribosomal RNA, 446 nt
Filed under: uncultured bacterium
Lineage: Bacteria
Description: bacterial SSU rRNA
Rfam family: Bacterial small subunit ribosomal RNA
Source: RNAcentral
CUACGGGAGGCAGCAGUGGGGAAUAUUGCACAAUGGGCGCAAGCCUGAUGCAGCGACGCCGCGUGAGGGAUGACGGCCUUCGGGUUGUAAACCGCUUUCAGCAGGGAAGAAGCGCAAGUGACGGUACCUACAGAAGAAGCCCCGGCCAACUACGUGCCAGCAGCCGCGGUAACACGUAGGGGGCGAGCGUUGUCCGGAUUUAUUGGGCGUAAAGAGCUCGUAGGCGGCUCAGUAAGUCAGGUGUGAAACCUCCAGGCUCAACCUGGAGACGCCACCUGAUACUGCUGUGGCUAGAGUCCGGUAGAGGAGCGUGGAAUUCCUGGUGUAGCGGUGAAAUGCGCAGAUAUCAGGAGGAACACCAACGGCGAAGGCAGCGCUCUGGGCCGGUACUGACGCUGAGGAGCGAAAGCGUGGGUAGCAAACAGGAUUAGAUACCCUGGUAGUCC